UAACCUCAUACCACUAGCCUGAGGCUGAAUUCAGUACCGUAACAAUAGCAAUCACAUCCUGACUGAAACAAACAGAAGGAUCCACGCUGCUUGAUUCAGUAUAAUAUCAAAUUGGCACCACAAGUUGGUUCAGGAUUUAGCUACCAGUAAACAUCACGUGGAUGGAGCCACAUGGGAGAUGGGGCACAAAUCUGACUACAUCACCUCGGGGAAACCUCACAACUAACAACACUGCUCGUGCCAUAAUAUAUUCAUUCCCACGCAAAUUCAUGCAAGCCUACAUACAAAUCGGCAAAAAUAAGGCAUGCAUCCAGGUGAACGAGGAAUAUUAGGAAACGGAAAAGAUUAACCUGCCAUGGCAAUCAUUUAAAACAGAACCGCGCCGCAAUACUUGCAUGUCUGGAAGAUUGACCACACUGAUACCAACAAGUAAAAGCAAUAUUAGAAAUCAUUCAAAACAUAACAAAAAUGACAUCGCUUCAUAUAGCUCAAGUAAGCUACCAAGACAAUGUUGUGGUCCUUCACAGAGAAAACGCAGAAGCUUUGCGACUUGAUGCAUUGAUAGAAGUACGCACAACCCUCUGAGUAAGCGCCCCCAUGAACAUGACUACAAAAAAAAAUGCACCCAUUGUGCUGUCAAAAAUGAAGAAAAAUCAUGAGGCCGGAACGAAAAGACGCAAAUCAGAACUCAAACUCGAAGCACUCACAUCCUUGUUGUUUGUGAACUGGAUAGGUCAAGGUUGGCCACAGCUUUACUGGUCAAGGCCCACUGCCUAACCGAACCCUAGCUCAGAGGAGUAAAAUGUGUGCUAGAGCGUCCUGGAAGGGUGAAACGGAGUAGGGGCAUUUGCUGCUAUAUCCUGUAAAAACAAGGGGUGACUACAAGCAUGGUGGCAAGUGGCAAUAGAAGGAGAUUGUGAGGGUUGGCAGAGCCAAGUCCUAGAUCAUUGAGUUCUCGUUGGUUUAAGUUUCAUGCAGCACAUGUGGGUGGAGAUUGUUAGGGAGGAGGGUGGAGCAAGGAAGGUUUUGAGAGUUCACGCUUAAUAAAUCUUGAUAUCGCUUGUACAUUUUUAAUGGAGUGGACCAUGACAUGGUUUCCAACAUUCCAUGUUUCCACUGAAUGUGGUUUCAAUGUGAUAAUCUUAAGAGGAAAAAAACAACAUCAUAGAACCUAUUUUUAAGUACUCAGAGGACCAUAAUAUCAGAGUGCAACAUUUGGCUACCGUACAACAUUUACAUCUACUAAGAGCAAUAAAAUAUGAUAUUGAGAUAAAGAAACAAUUCAUCUGAACGUAAUAAGCAAAUAAUUGUACCUGCCACUUUUCUCUGUCUUCUAUAAAGAGCUCCAUGGAGAGUAACCCCAACGCCUCGUGCUAUAUGCACUCUACCUAUUGUAGAUAGAGAAGAAUACACAUAGCAACCCCAGCACCUCGGUAAUCAAAUUUUAUCUGAACCAGAUAACAAGAAUCCUGCCAGCACAAAUGAUUUAGGAUACUCCUUUUGAAAUUGCAACAGCAUGCUAUCAUAGGAAAAUUAUUUAAAAUACCAAUACCUUCAAAGAAGAUAUAAAAGAUGAAAAAUAUAUUGAUUUCAGAACUUCAUGGUCAUCUGAGUCCUAUUAAGAGUCAUGUGUCUACUACACAAAUUACCGAAAAGACACGGACACCCGGC
RNAcentral lists this long non-coding RNA (1671 nucleotides) under Triticum aestivum (bread wheat). RNAcentral's name for it is "long non-coding RNA (TAES_LNC018112)". The record is from RNAcentral. Lineage: Eukaryota; Viridiplantae; Streptophyta; Magnoliopsida; Poales; Poaceae.